GAUGAACGCUGGCGGCGUGCCUAAUACAUGCAAGUCGAGCGAACAGACGAGGAGCUUGCUCCUCUGACGUUAGCGGCGGACGGGUGAGUAACACGUGUAUAACCUACCUGUAAGACUGGGAUAACUUCGGGAAACCGGAUCUAAUACCGUAUAAUAUAUUGAACCGCAUGGUUCGAUAGUGAAAUACGGUUUUUCUGUCACUUAUAGAUGGAUCCGCGCCGCAUUAGGUGGUUGGUAAGGUCACGGCUUACCAAGGCAACGAUGCGUAGACGAACUGAGAGGGUGAUCGGCCACACGGGAGGUGAGACGCGGUCAAUGCUCCUACGGUAGGCAGCAGUAGGGAAUCUUCCGCAGUGGGCGAAAGCCUGACGGAGCAACGCCGAGUGAGUGAUGAAGGUCUUGGGAUCGUAAAACUCUGUUAUGAGGGAAGAACAAAUGUGGAAGUAACUAUGCACGUCUUGACGGUACCUAAUAAGAAAGCAACGGCUAACUACGUG
RNAcentral lists this ribosomal RNA (497 nucleotides) under uncultured bacterium. RNAcentral describes it as "partial 16S ribosomal RNA". It matches the Rfam family "Bacterial small subunit ribosomal RNA", at positions 28 to 507 of the family's 1533-position model. The record is from RNAcentral.